RNAcentral lists this small RNA (1018 nucleotides) under Rattus norvegicus (Norway rat). Its description in RNAcentral is "uncharacterized LOC102550417". The record is from RNAcentral. Lineage: Eukaryota; Metazoa; Chordata; Mammalia; Rodentia; Muridae.
AACACACCAACCAUAGAAUACUAUACCCACUGUAACUAAACCAUUGGGGUUGAGUUGAGGAGGAUUUUUUUUUUUAUUUUAACAAUAGCCACAUUUGUUGAACAGGACUUGUUGUUCUUCAUUUUGUUUUAGUAGUGGGGAUGGUCCUUGUAUUUAGACGUUAUAUGGCCUGGGUUACCCAGCUCACAACAGAAACACCUGCACCAAAUUAAUUUGUUGUAGCAUAUUAAUUAUCUCAUAGCUUCUAUUUAGGCUGCAGCUGUUGCUAUUAUGUUAAUAAUAAUUUUUAUCACCACUGUAUACAACAGGUUAUGGGAAGAAUAGAAAUAUCUCUUUGGGGGGGGAGGUCCCCCCUUGUCAUUUCCAUGUUUCGAUGUCAGAAGGGAAGACUGUAAGAAAAUCAGGCAAAUUGAGCCCCUAAAGCGCACUGUAAUUUUCUAUUUCUGAUCGGAUUUGUGAGAGAAUGGCUGAGUGAAGUUAGCAGAGCGUCAUCCCCCCACACAAAGAUGGCGCGAGCAGAAUUUGUGAGAGCGGAAAGGGGUGUGGAAGGAAGGACAGGCAAGUGGGGACGGAACACUGCAGUGCUGGGUGGAUUUUGCCGCAGUGUUCAUCUGCAGUCCCAGAAUCCUCCGCCGUUAAAACACGUCUUUAGAAAGUAAUCCAAGGAAGGCCUGAAGAACACGCAACUUUGAGCAUGGAGGACGGUGCCAGCGUAACUAAAGGACCAGGCCACGGCCCAUCACCUCCGGCUACCGCUACCUUCACGGUCCCUCCUUCGCUCCGGAGCUGUACAUAGGCUGCGCGAGCUUUCCACAGUGGCUCUCUGCGGAACCUGCCCAGUGGGUUACUAGACGGCUUCUGUGUGGGAGAAUAAACCACAUGUAGUCUGACAAGAGGUAUUUACAACUGCUUAGCCUGUUCAACUGGAAAUCAACAAAAAGAUGACAUACCCCUGACUCGGUGUUUUACAAAUCAAAAGUCUGGAUCCAUAAACAGCCCACUUGAGGAACAUAGAGCC